Molecule: long non-coding RNA, 638 nt
Organism: Cotesia glomerata
Lineage: Eukaryota; Metazoa; Arthropoda; Insecta; Hymenoptera; Braconidae
Exons: 3
Source: RefSeq, a predicted model, not a curated record
UUUAUUAAGGGCUAUAACUUGGUAGAAAAAAAAUUUUUUAAUAGAUUUCAUAAAAAUCUAACUAUUGUAUUUGUCCUCAUGACGUAAUUUUCCGUUAAUUUUACUAUAUUUCGACCUAACUCGACAAUCUGAGUCAGAAAAUACAUAUGGUUCGAAAGUUUAUAUAUGUAUAUAUAUAUAUAUGAUAUAACGCGGCUUGUCACGAUGAUAGCGUUAACAAUUCUUAAAGGAUCUUAAUGAAACUCAACAUACUUAUUCUAUCGACUAUUAGGAAGGUCAAGUUCAAAUAUGAGCUUAAUCGGUCAAAUAGUUUAGAAAUUACACCAGUCCAAAAUUUUGAAAUUUUGAAAAUUUGAUACUUUCACUACUUUUCCUUCAAAUAACUUUUGAACGCGUCGAGUUAUUCGAUUUCUGUAAAAUGCAUCUGAAAGCUGAGAAAUUAAACUUCAAUUUAUGUGCUCACAUUUUUUUCUAACGCAAAAAAAUAUCCAUCUUAGGAUCAUUUUUAAGAAAUUUUACUCUUGCAGUCAUUUUGUCUAUACAGAACUGACUGAAAAGUAUACUAAAGUACAAUAAUUCUUCUCUUUCUUUAUGGAAGGUUAUUUAUUUUUUUUUUUAUAAUUUUAGUUGUUUUUAAU